ACAGAGGUGGCAAGCGUUGUUCGGAUUUAUUGGGCGUAAAGGGUCCGUAGGCGGCCUGAAAAGUUGGAUGUGAAAUCCCACAGCUUAACUGUGGAACUGCAUUCAAAACUCUCAGGCUCGAGUGUGAUAGGGGUAAAGGGAAUUCCCGGUGUAAGGGUGAAAUCUGCAGAGAUCGGGAGGAACACCAGUCGCGAAGGCGCUUUACUGGAUCACUACUGACGCUGAGGGACGAAAGCCAGGGGAGCAAACGGG
This 252-nucleotide ribosomal RNA is filed under the name uncultured bacterium. RNAcentral's name for it is "partial 16S ribosomal RNA". It matches the Rfam family "Bacterial small subunit ribosomal RNA", at positions 525 to 776 of the family's 1533-position model. The record is from RNAcentral.